CUGCAUGAUAGAGGCGCAUGUUUCAUCAGUACCGAUCAUCUCCGGUCAAUGGAUCUUCGGGAAAGGGAAACGUGCCGAGGGUUAAGUAUUUGUGUCCACGGAUACUUUUCGCCGGGACGUAGGAAAAUAUCCUGCGUACUGUCGUUCGCCGAGCGAACGGAGCGCUAUCGUGUCU
This 175-nucleotide non-coding RNA is filed under the name Aedoeadaptatus coxii. RNAcentral's name for it is "Peptoniphilus coxii Lysine sequence". It matches the Rfam family "Lysine riboswitch aptamer". Rfam says of the family: Riboswitches are metabolite binding domains within certain messenger RNAs that serve as precision sensors for their corresponding targets. Lineage: Bacteria; Bacillati; Bacillota; Tissierellia; Tissierellales; Peptoniphilaceae. The record is from Rfam by way of RNAcentral.